This 1511-nucleotide long non-coding RNA is filed under the name Salmo salar (Atlantic salmon). RNAcentral describes it as "lncRNA (ENSSSAG00000089850.1)". The record is from RNAcentral. Lineage: Eukaryota; Metazoa; Chordata; Actinopteri; Salmoniformes; Salmonidae.
CACACACACACACACACACACACACACACACACACACACACACACACACCUACCUCCGUGCCCCACAUGGCACCCAUAUUUCCCUCUUUAAACACAGCGUGUGCACAGAGAGCACAAUAGGCCCAUGUGUGUGUAAUGUGUGUGUGUGUUUGUGUGUCUGUCUGUGUGUGCGUGCUAUGAUUCUCCUGAUCCCUUCUUACUGCAGAACCAUUAACCUAUAUAUAUUUUGUGUUUUCCCUGGUGUUUAGUAACAUGGUUAUAUACAGGAAGCACCAGUUAGUAACAUGGCUAUAUACAGGGAGUACCAGUUAGUAACAUGGCUAUAUACAGGGAGUACCAGGUAAUAACAUGGCUAUAUACAGGAAGUACCAGGUAAUAACAUGGCUAUAUACAGGGAGUACCAGGUAAUAACAUGGCUAUAUACAGGAAGUACCAGGUAAUAACAUAUCUAUAUACAGGAAGUACCAGGUAAUAACAUGGCUAUAUACAGGGAGUACCAGGUAAUAACAUGGUUAUAUACAGGGAGUACCAGGUAAUAACAUGGCUAUAUACAGGGAGUACCAGGUAAUAACAUGGCUAUAUACAGGAAGCACCAGUUAAUAACAUGGCUAUAUACAGGAAGCACCAGUUAAUAACAUGGCUAUAUACAGGGAGUACCAGUUAGUAACAUGGCUAUAUACAGGAAGAACCAGUUAGUAACAUGGCUAAUAACAGGGAGUACCAGUUAGUAACAUGGCUAAAUACAGUAAUGGUAGUAACGGUGACUAAGUUCAGAGCAGGGUACUGGGUGGAGGCUGGCUAGUAACAGUAACUAAGGUUCAGGGCAGGGUACUGGGUGGAGGCUGGCUAGUAACAGUGACUAAGUUCAGGGCAGGGUACUGGGUGGAGGCUGGCUAGUAACAGUGACUAAGGUUCAGGGCAGGGUACUGGGUGGAGGCCGGCUAGUAACAGUGACUAAGGUUCAGGGCAGGGUACUGGGUGGAGGCCGGCUAGUAACAGUGACUAAGGUUCAGGGCAGGGUACUGGGUGGAGGCCGGCUAGUAACAGUAACUAAGGUUCAGGGCAGGGUACUGGGUGGAGGCUGGCUAGUGGUGACUGUUUUGAACAGUCUGAUGUCCUGGAGAUACAGUGCCUUCAGAAAGUAUUCACACCCCUUGACAUUUCCCACAUUUUGUUGUUACAGCCUGAAUUCAAAAUGGAUUAAAUGUAGAUUGUGUGUAACUGGGCCUACACAACAAUACCCCAUAAUGUCAAAGUGGAAUUAUGUUUUUAGACAUUUUUACAAAUUAAUAAAAAAAAUGAAAAGCUGAAAUGUCUUGAGUCAAUAAGUAUUCAACCGCUUCGUUAUGGCCUUAAUAAGUUAAGGUGUAAAAAUGUGCUUAAAAAGUCACAUAAUAAGUUGCAUGGGCUCACUGUGUGCAAUAAGAGUUUAACAUGAUUUUUGAAUGACUACCUCAUCUUUGUACCCCACACAUACCGAUAAUUGUAAGGUCCCUCAGUCAAGCAGUGAA